Molecule: ribosomal RNA, 430 nt
Filed under: uncultured marine bacterium 311
Lineage: Bacteria
Description: bacterial SSU rRNA
Rfam family: Bacterial small subunit ribosomal RNA
Source: RNAcentral
AGCGCACCCCUAUCCUUAUUUGCCAGCGCAUAAUGGCGGGAACUAUAAGGAGACUGCCGGUCAUAAACCGGAGGAAGGCGGGGACGACGUCAAGUCAUCAUGGCCCUUAUGGGUAGGGCUACACACGUGAUACAAUGGGUGGUACAGAGGGUCGCCAAAGCGCGAGCUGGAGCCAAACCCUUAAAACCAUUCUUAGUCCGGAUUGGAGUCGGCAACUCGACUCCAUGAAGUCGGAAUCGCUAGUAAUCGCGAAUCAGAAUGUCGCGGUGAAUACGUUCUCGGGCCUUGUACACACCGCCCGUCACGUCAUGGAAGUGGGUUGCACCAGAAGUGGCUUGUUUAACCUUCGGGAAAACGGUCACCACGGUGUGAUUCACAACUGGGACGAAGUCGUAACAAGGUAGCCCUAGGGGAACCUGGGGCUGGAUCA